GACGAACGCUGGCGGCGUGCUUAACACAUGCAAGUCGAACGGAAAGGCCCUGCUUUUGUUGGGUUCUCGAGUGGCGAACGGGUGAGUAACACGUGAGUAACCUCCCCUUGACUUUGUGAUAACUUCAGGAAACUGGGGCUAAUACCGGAGAGGAUCUCCUGCUGCAUGGUGGGGGUUGGAAAGUUUCGGCGGUUGUGGAUCGACUCGCGGCUUAUCAGCUUGUUGGUGUGGUAGUGGCUUACCAAGGCUUUGACGGGUAGCCUGCCUGAGAGGGUGAACGGCGACAUUGGGACUGAGAUACGGACCAGACUCCGACGGGCGGCAGCAGUGGGGAAUAUUGCACAAUGGGCGGAAGCCUGAUGCAGCAACGCCGCGUGCGGGAUACCGGCCUUCGGGUUGUAAACCGCUUUCGCCUGUGACGAAGCGUGAGUGACGGUAAUGGGUAAAGAAGCACCGGCUAACUACGUG
RNAcentral lists this ribosomal RNA (468 nucleotides) under uncultured bacterium. RNAcentral's name for it is "partial 16S ribosomal RNA". It matches the Rfam family "Bacterial small subunit ribosomal RNA", at positions 28 to 507 of the family's 1533-position model. The record is from RNAcentral.